Cricetulus griseus (Chinese hamster) is the source of this 2513-nucleotide non-coding RNA. The record is from RefSeq and is a predicted model, not a curated record. Lineage: Eukaryota; Metazoa; Chordata; Mammalia; Rodentia; Cricetidae.
GGGUGUCAGUUGGAAAGUGCUGGCCUCCUCUCCAGGGGAAACAGGAAGGUGUGUGUGGCCUGGGCCAGUCAGAAGUCACAAGAAGUCACUGAAGUCAAUCAAAAUGAAUUUUCCAUGCACAGAAAGGAUGUACUGUUACUAUUCAUUGUGGUCCUGCUGUAGGGGCUUAGAUCAGAAAAAUCAGAAUUUCUUUUUACCAAGUAUAAAUAAAACUGUACUUAACCCAACAGGAAACAAGCAAUGGACGCUAUGAUUCUGUGUCUCCUGGGGGAAGGACCCUUGAGGGUUAAGAAGACAUACGUAGAGGAAGCAGUGUCAGGGAGGACUUUUUGGAAUUCGGAUGGGAAGGUGCUCUUUAAGACUCAGCCUUUCUCGCUUCUCUGGAAGACGAGAAGAGUUCACUGGCAUGUGCAGUGGCAUCCUGAUCUUUAGAACCCCUUUGAGUCUGUGAAAGAGACCCAUUGCUCAGGAGUUGGUCAAAUAAUGAAGAGAAUGUAAGAGACUCAACAGACGAAAAUGAGGCUUUGGGUAAAGAUAGAUGAACCCACAAAACUGGCUUCUUUCUCAAGACCUACUAAAAAGAAGAAAACACAUAUUCUUAACCUGUACAGUUAAACCUACAAAAGGCAAAAAUUGUGGGAAUCAAGUAUCAACUUGUGGUAGUUAAUAGUGAUUUUGAACUUGACAGGAUCUAGACUCACCAGGGAGACAAGCCUCUGUGCAUGUCUGUGAGGGGCUUUCUAGAGGGAAGGCCCACUAAGUGCUGAUGGCACCAUACCGUGGGUGGCUCCUGGAUUGGCUAAGAAGUGAGCUCAGGGGCUCAAGGAAAGCAGUUCACAGGACAGAGAAGAUGGGUAGGUCCAAAGAGAGAGACUUUUUUAAAAGAUAAUUUUUAAAAGAUUUAUUUUAAAACAAACUUUACAUCUUUCUUCUAUAGAUGAAAUCCCACUCCUACCCCCUUUUAAAGAAGGAAACCGUGGAGAAAAAAGAAGACUUCACAAAUUUGUGGUGUCAGGAUUGCUAACUCCAGGAAGUUAAAACUGAGCAGGUCUGGGAGCCCACAGGGUGAUAGCCUAAGCAGAUCACUGGAAGAGCGACACCUACAGUUGUGACCAGAGUCAAAAGCAGUCACAAUCAAGACUGGGCUCUGAAGUACCACUGCUGUCUUCAAUUUGAGACCAGCCACUGGCCAGAUGGCUAGGGAAAUCUUCAUGGUGCUGAUGCCAAUAAGAGGGCUAUGUUUGAAUGUUGAGAAGACGUGGUCUUAAAAACAGGAGCAGAGAAACAAUCAUUACAGCAAGAAAGGAGCUAGCUGGCCAGGAAGUGUUGUGCUGUGGACACGUAAGAGCUGAGGAGACCAGCCUGGGUCUGUUCCUGUGAUGCCAACAGGUCACUGAAUGAGCUGUCUUUCAGCGGGAACUCCCCAGCGCUGGGCGGUAGGUCCCCAGUCCGACGCCUCCCGAGACCCGCCUAUCCGGGCUCCCUGCCCAGAGGCACCCGGCAUCCCAGGCACCAAGAGGCAGAGGCGCGAGAGAAGCGCGGGAGGACAGGGACCACAGAGCCCGAGGGCCACCAGGAACGCAGCAGAGACUGGGGUGUCUGUCUAACCCUGGGCCAGACCGGGAGCGCGAAAGAAAGAACUCCAGGCAAAGACCCUUUCAAUUCACCUUAGUGACUUGCAGCUGGGAAUCUGCGAAGCUCACCCUACUGCCGCUGUAUGCGCAGCAUUUGAAUCCCUCUCUCUUCACACAGUGCGAUGCAUCCUUUCAAAACUGCCCAUUAGGUGGAUUAGAAUGUACUGGGGACACGGCAGCAGCUUCUAACCAGGGGAACCAACCUGGGCCCAAGGUUACUGAUUCCAAAUUCUUUCCCUUUUUAGCCACAUUCCAACAAUAAUUGAUGACAGAAUCUCAGUGGGACCCUGUUGACUUCACCGAGGAAAUGACGGCAUAUCCCGGAGAUAAAUACAUAUAUGAUAUAGAGCACACACACACACACACACACACACACACACACACACACACACACACCUACACAUAGGUAUGACAGCAAGUACACUUUCUCAGCACUUGAAUUGGGGAAUGUUGGCGAACUUAUUUUAGAAACAUAAUUGUUUCUCAACACGUCCAGUAGAUUGAUUGCUGAAAUCUCUCAUUUGCAUUCUCCUUUUGUCAUUUCAUGUCACUUUGUUACUUGAACAUGGCUGUUAAUUUUAAUCCAAUCCACAGUCCUCCAUCCAGGUCUGUCUGGUUCUUAGAGGAGUUGUGUGAAGUAAUUCAGGAUGCUAGUUCUGACAGGGACAGAGUGAAGAAUGGCUGUUUCAUCUUUCCCUGAAAUUUCACUCUUCUGAGAAUGUUAGUGAUAGCCUUCAUUCUUUCCUGUGUUGAGAUUUUUCCCAACAAGAAAUGCAAUAAUCAUUAUUGUAUAAUUUAUUUAAUUUUACUGUUUUGAGACAGGGUUUCUCACUGUGUAGCCCUGGUUGUCCUGGAACUCACUCUGUAGACCAGGCUGGU